GAAGCGUGAAGCGGCAGCUAUUGGCUCUCCUCCGCGGCUCCGUAAUGAGCCACCGUCAGAUCUGACAUUUUCUGCAGAUGAGCAGCAGAUGGGGGGAACGGCGUCGACGUCUCAGGCUUAACUUAUCUAACUUAGCUGGAGAUUUUUUCCCUUCAGUUUACAACCUGGAAUUGAAAUGGACUAAAUUGAGAUUUGAGGCUUUUGAGUUGAAAUCAAGACAAUGGAUUCCACAUUUGAUCAAUGUGGCACUGGUCCAUCCCCGCUCUCCUCACAGGUUGACAGUCCAGGAAUGGAGCAGAACAUGAGUGGUAACAGCAUGAUACGCCACUCAGCCAUGGACUCUCCGGCAAAACCGCCGUCAACAGAGGCCACAGGCCUUUAUAUUUAGCACGUGGAUGAGGAGACGAGGCAUGAGAAGCUUUACGCUGUAUCUUGCCGAAUGACAGAUGUGAGAACAAUGGUCACUUUGACGUCUACACAAAGACCAUCCCAGAACAAAUACCAGUAUAUGAUGAUGUAUGAAUCCCAGUUCUUCGUCUACUUUUAUUAUUUCUGCAAGAAUUUCCGAGCUAACCCCCUUCACUGGACAAAAUAUUAACUGCCAAGUAUCUCGAUCCUGAUAAUAUUUUGCACAUUCUUCGUUUUACUCUGCACGAAUGGAUGGAAAACCGUUUACAAGUUUCCAAAACAUUCUCAAGGGGAGAAUUUGAAGUACAAUUGGAGUUGUUGUCAUGGAGGUAGGUAAAUCAACCAUCUAUCUUGU
Silurus meridionalis is the source of this 763-nucleotide long non-coding RNA. RefSeq lists it as uncharacterized. Lineage: Eukaryota; Metazoa; Chordata; Actinopteri; Siluriformes; Siluridae. The record is from RefSeq and is a predicted model, not a curated record. The transcript has 5 exons.